UCAAACUUGGUCAUUUAGAGGAAGUAAAAGUCGUAACAAGGUUUCCGUAGGUGAACCUGCGGAAGGAUCAUUACUGAGCAAGGGUUUCAAUUCGAGCCCGACCUCCAAACCUAUGCCUACCUUACCAAUUGUUGCUUCGGCGAGCCCGCUUCGGCCGCCGGAGGGUCCUGCCCUCUGGUCAGUUGCUCGUCGACAGCCCCCAUUCAAACUCUUGUCAAUCAUGUUUGUCUGAAUUCCAAAUCAAAUCAAAACAAAACUUUCAACAACGGAUCUCUUGGUUCUGGCAUCGAUGAAGAACGCAGC
RNAcentral lists this unclassified non-coding RNA (303 nucleotides) under uncultured fungus. Its description in RNAcentral is "partial contains small subunit ribosomal RNA, internal transcribed spacer 1, and 5.8S ribosomal RNA". The stretch from base 1 to 73 matches the Rfam family "Eukaryotic small subunit ribosomal RNA", at positions 1759 to 1831 of the family's 1831-position model. The record is from RNAcentral. Lineage: Eukaryota; Fungi.